GUGUUCGUGAUGCCUCAUCUGGGAAGGUUCUUCUGUAAACCUCACGUAGCUGUGAAGCAGUAACUGCAAGCUGUUUUGAGAAGUGACUUUUGCCACAUCCUGAAGAUUUGCCGUAUCUGUGGUAUUAUUUCAGCCGUGCCAGGUGAGAUAUCCACGUUUCCCCUGGUGAGUCAGUGCUUUGCAUGGUACAAGUUUCCUGUGGCCUGUUGGGACUGGGAGCAGUUUGACAGGGCUGGCUGUCAAAUAAAGCUUUGGAAAUGAAUGACUCCACAAAGGACCUUCUGAAACCUGGUAUUACAUUUUGGAAAACUUGUGAAAAAGAACUGUGGGUAUUUGACAGCUUUGUGUCCUGAGGUAGGGUAUGACUCUAGAAGCAAAGCAUUCCAUCAGAAAUGUCUGUCUCUUUGAUGUUGUUUUAAAUAUUUAACCUCCAAGGGAGGGAAUUUCUUUAUUGCAAGUGUUAGUUUUAGUGGUUUUAGCUGUGAAGUAUGGUGGUGUAAGUAAUGUUGCGUAGUUAGUUUGGGGAACGUUAAAUUCCCCUGUAAUUAAUAGCAUAGAGAAAUAAGAUUUUUAGAGCAAGGACAAGACUUAGUCUUGAAGUCAUUAAAUAAAGGGAGAUUUGAUUUAACCA
Molecule: long non-coding RNA, 631 nt
Filed under: Cyanistes caeruleus (blue tit)
Lineage: Eukaryota; Metazoa; Chordata; Aves; Passeriformes; Paridae
Description: lncRNA (ENSCCEG00000019222.1)
Source: RNAcentral